Molecule: ribosomal RNA, 492 nt
Filed under: uncultured bacterium
Lineage: Bacteria
Description: partial 16S ribosomal RNA
Rfam family: Bacterial small subunit ribosomal RNA
Source: RNAcentral
AGUGAACGCUGGCGGUAGGCCUAACACAUGCAAGUCGAACGGCAGCACAGUAAGAUCUUGCUCUUACGGGUGGCGAGGGGCGGGCGGGUGAGGCAUACAUCAGAAUCUACUUUUUCGUGGGGGACAACGUGGGGAAACUUACGCUAAUAGCGCAUACGAUCUACGGGAGGAAUCAGUAGAGCUUCGCACCUUUCCCGACUGAAUGAGCCGAUGCCGGAUUAGCUAGUUGGCGGGGUAAAGGCUCACCAAGGCAACGAUCCGUAGCUGGUCUGAGAGGAUGAUCGGCCACACUGGAACUGAGACACAGUCCAGACUCCUACGGGAGGCAGCAGUAGGGAAUCUUGGACAAUGGGCGCAAGCCUGAUGCAGCAAUGCCGCGUGGGUGAAGAAGGUCUUCGGGUUGUAAAGCCCUGUUGUUGGGAAAGAAAAGCAGCAUGUGAAUACACCGCUGUUCUGACGGUACCUAAAGAAUAAGCACCGGCUAACUUCGUG